This 68-nucleotide transfer RNA is filed under the name Kamimuria klapaleki. Its description in RNAcentral is "tRNA-His". The record is from RNAcentral. Lineage: Eukaryota; Metazoa; Arthropoda; Insecta; Plecoptera; Perlidae.
ACUUAAGUAGUUUAAUUAAAACCUUGACUUGUGGCGUCAACAAUAUAAGUGAGAUCUUAUUUUAGGUU